AACGAACGCUGGCGGCAUGCCUAACACAUGCAAGUCGAACGAGACCUUCGGGUCUAGUGGCGCACGGGUGCGUAACGCGUGGGAACCUGCCCUUAGGUUCGGAAUAACUCCCCGAAAGGGGUGCUAAUACCGGAUAAUGUCUUCGGACCAAAGAUUUAUCGCCUUUGGAUGGGCCCGCGUUGGAUUAGCUAGUUGGUAGGGUAAAAGCCUACCAAGGCGACGAUCCAUAGCUGGUCUGAGAGGAUGAUCAGCCACACUGGGACUGAGACACGGCCCAGACUCCUACGGGAGGCAGCAGUGGUGAAUAUUGGACAAUGGGCGAAAGACUGAUCCAGCAAUGCCGCGUGAGUGAUGAAGGCCUUAGGGUUGUAAAGCUCUUUUACCCGGGAUGAUAAUGACAGUACCGGGAGAAUAAGCUCCGGCUAACUCCGUG
Molecule: ribosomal RNA, 433 nt
Filed under: uncultured bacterium
Lineage: Bacteria
Description: partial 16S ribosomal RNA
Rfam family: Bacterial small subunit ribosomal RNA
Source: RNAcentral